This 200-nucleotide ribosomal RNA is filed under the name uncultured bacterium. RNAcentral describes it as "partial 16S ribosomal RNA". It matches the Rfam family "Bacterial small subunit ribosomal RNA", at positions 524 to 724 of the family's 1533-position model. The record is from RNAcentral.
UACGUAGGAUGCAAGCGUUGUCCGGAAUUAUUGGGCGUAAAGCGAACGUAGGCGGCUUCUUAAGUUUGGUCUUAAAGACCGGGGCUCAACCCCGGGAAUGGACUGAAUACUGGGAGCUGGAGGAUGUCAGAGGAAAGUGGAAUUCCCAGUGUAGCGGUGAAAUGCGUAGAUAUUGGGAAGAACACCAGUGGCGAAAGCGA